AUGACGAAUUCAGCCUCUAGGAGCAGCCAACGGAUUUUCGGAAAAUGGAUAUCUUGGCUAAGCUACUUCCUCUGCAGGCUGAUUAGCAACUUGAUACACAAGAAUGAUGAGGAUUUAACGGACUUGGAGGCCUUUAUUGACGACUACUAUCACCACCUUCAUCCAACCAUGGAUAAUACCGACGUACUCAAACCAGAUUCCAAGAGAAGAAAGAAAGACUCUGCAACGGACACAGAUGAUCUGCACACCACCGAAGUCGAGGUUAGUGUGCUGGCAAGCAUCAACAAAAAACUGGAUAUGCUGGUCACGAUACACAAAGAGUUAAACGACAUGCGAAGAAGCCUUGAAUUUGCUUACAAUCACAUCGAAACACUACAACAAUCAAAUCAGGAGCUCCAAACUUCAGUAACAACACUCACCCAGCAAAUGCAAAAUGUCACCGCCGAAAACAAACAGAUAAAAGAAACAAUUCUAGACAUCCAAACACGCUCAAUGCGCGAUAACCUCAUCUUCUCAGGCAUUCCAGAAACAUCACCCGAUAAUCCAGAGUUGCAGAUUCAAAACUUCAUGCAAUCCCAACUGAAAUUACCCGCUGACGUCGUUCAAAAUAUUACUAUCCACCGAGUUCAUCGUCUCUGCAAACAACAGCAGGACAAAACUAGGCCCAUCAUCGCAAAAUUUGAACACUAUCAACAAAAAGAACUGGUCAAAAGCAAAGGAAAACUACUCAAGACACUUUGGAAUGAAUGAACAAUACCCACGGGAAAUAAACGAACGAAGGAAAGUUCUCUACCCCAUAUUAAAGGAAAACCGAAGAAACAACAUACGUGCAGUAUUGGCAGUUGAUAAACUCUAUAUAAAUGGACAGUUAUUCCGAAGCCAUGAAAAAACACCAUGGCUUUUCUGAAUAAAUAUACAAUUAUGCUAUUUUUUUUCCUUUCUCUCACACCUCUGUAAGCUUACAGAAUUUGCUAGCCCAUCUUCUACAUUCUGUGCUUAUGCUCUCUCUCCUUAUUUGCUUAUUUGCUCUCUCCACUCUUUUUUGUUGUUUUUUUUCCUUAUUCAGUUGUGUCUUCUCUCUUUCACUCUCUCCCUCUCUCUGUCUUUCCCUCCUAUCAAUCUCUGAUAAGGCAUGUGCCUUUCUUUGCAUAUUGCUUGUUUAUGUCUUGUCUCUGUUUGUCCUUAUCUAUAUGUGUAAAGUCCCCUUACCCAGUGUCUGUUUGUUAGUUCUGUAUUCAUGUUCAACACCACUACUACCUCUCAGCUCAACCCCAAGCAAAAACGCUGGAAAACAUGUUAUGCGAGAUAUGACACACAUCCACCCAACACUGACGAGCAAAAACACACACGCCAUAUUCCCUCAACCGAACCCCUCCAUCCCUCUCUCCCCUCCCUCACUCUCUCUUUCUCUUUAUCACUUCAUACGUCUCUUAACCCACAUAUACGUACUAGCCCACAACUCU
Molecule: long non-coding RNA, 1463 nt
Filed under: Dicentrarchus labrax (European seabass)
Lineage: Eukaryota; Metazoa; Chordata; Actinopteri; Moronidae
Description: lncRNA (ENSDLAG00005028880.1)
Source: RNAcentral